RNAcentral lists this ribosomal RNA (585 nucleotides) under uncultured bacterium. Its description in RNAcentral is "partial 16S ribosomal RNA". It matches the Rfam family "Bacterial small subunit ribosomal RNA", at positions 355 to 1375 of the family's 1533-position model. The record is from RNAcentral.
UGGGGAAUUUUGGACAAUGGGCGAAAGCCUGAUCCAGCAAUGCCGCGUGUGUGAAGAAGGCCUUCGGGUUGUAAAGCACUUUUGUCCGGAAAGAAAUCCUUGGCUCUAAUACAGUCGGGGGAUGACGGUACCGGAAGAAUAAGCACCGGCUAACUACGUGCCAGCAGCCGCGGUAAUACGUAGGGUGCAAGCGUUAAUCGGAAUUACUGGGCGUAAAGCGUGCGCAGGCGGUUUGCUAAGACCGAUGUGAAAAUCCCCGGGCUAACCUGGGAACUGCAUUGGCGACUGGCAGGCUAGAGUAUGGCANAGGGGGGUAGAAUUCCACGUGUAGCAGUGAAAUGCGUAGAGAUGUGGAGGAAUACCGAUGGCGAAGGCAGCCCCCUGGGCCAAUACUGACGCUCAUGCACGAAAGCGUGGGGAGCAAACAGGAUUAGAUACCCUGGUAGUCCACGCCCUAAACGAUGUCAACUAGUUGUUGGGGAUUCAUUUCCUUAGUAACGUAGCUAACGCGUGAAGUUGACCGCCUGGGGAGUACGGUCGCAAGAUUAAAACUUAAAUGAAUUGACGGGGUCAUAGCUGUUUCCU